Molecule: microRNA precursor, 59 nt
Filed under: Schmidtea mediterranea
Lineage: Eukaryota; Metazoa; Platyhelminthes; Tricladida; Dugesiidae
Description: Sme-Mir-87-o10_pre stem-loop
Source: RNAcentral
UCAAUUGAUAAUGGGCCCCAGCCAUUCCAGGCGAAUGAUGAGCAAAUUAUCAAUUGACU